GGAGGGUGCAAGCGUUAUCCGGAUUCACUGGGUUUAAAGGGUGCGUAGGUGGGCAGGUAAGUCAGUGGUGAAAUCUCCGGGCUUAACCCGGAAACUGCCAUUGAUACUAUCUGUCUUGAAUACCCUGGAGGUGAGCGGAAUAUGUCAUGUAGCGGUGAAAUGCUUAGAUAUGACAUAGAACACCCAUUGCGAAGGCAGCUCACUACGGGAAUAUUGACACUGAGGCACGAAAGCGUGGGGAUCAAACAGGAUUAGAUACCCUGGUAGUCCACGCCCUAAACUAUGGAUACUCGACAUCAGCGAUAAACUGUUGGUGUCUGAGCGAAAGCAUUAAGUAUCCCACCUGGGAAGUACGACCGCAAGGUUGAA
This 369-nucleotide ribosomal RNA is filed under the name uncultured bacterium. Its description in RNAcentral is "bacterial SSU rRNA". It matches the Rfam family "Bacterial small subunit ribosomal RNA", at positions 527 to 898 of the family's 1533-position model. The record is from RNAcentral.